RNAcentral lists this ribosomal RNA (255 nucleotides) under uncultured bacterium. RNAcentral's name for it is "partial 16S ribosomal RNA". It matches the Rfam family "Bacterial small subunit ribosomal RNA", at positions 524 to 776 of the family's 1533-position model. The record is from RNAcentral.
UACAGAGGGUGCGAGCGUUGUCCGGAAUCACUGGGCGUAAAGGGCGCGUAGGUGGUGGCUUAAGCGUGCGGUGAAAGCUCGGGGCUCAACCCCGAGUCGGCCGUGCGAACUGGGCUCACUGGAGCAUAGUAGAGGCAGGUGGAAUUCCUGGUGUAGCGGUGAAAUGCGCAGAUAUCAGGAGGAACACCGGUGGCGAAGGCGGGUCUCUGGGCAACAACUGACGCUGAGGAGCGAAAGCGUGGGGGAGCGAACAGG